RNA transcript from Olea europaea var. sylvestris, 3968 nucleotides. It is a transcript of the gene named homeobox-DDT domain protein RLT3-like, with no coding region annotated. The record is from RefSeq and is a predicted model, not a curated record. The transcript is spliced from 17 exons. NCBI's taxonomy places the organism in Eukaryota, Viridiplantae, Streptophyta, Magnoliopsida, Lamiales, Oleaceae.
UAAAAAACUCUGACCUCCAUUUUUCAAUUUUCACAGUUCCAGAGAGAGACAAGAGUGAACUCUUUUAUCUUCUUCCCCACACACCUCCACCACCACCACCUCCUCCUCCUCCACUGCCUCCACCUCGCAUGGAUUAUUGAUCAAUAUAAUUUGGAUAAUUAAUUAUGGCCAAUAUAAAGUCGAAUAGCAAUCGACAGAAUUCUAGAAAGAGUAAUCAGGAGUGUGGAAUUGGGAUGAAUUUUAAUGGAAAUAGUUGCAAGAGUAAGAGUAUGGAUAAGAAGAGAAAAAGAAAGCUUCAGCACCAGCUUUUCACGGAUGAAGAUGAUUACAGGCUACGGCUUCAGGAGGUUUUAUACUCUCCAGAGCACAUUCUCACUAAAAUUUUCCGAAAGGACGGCCCGGCACUUGGGAAUGAAUUCGAUUCCCUUCCAUCAAAUGCUUUUCUCUGCAAUAAGAAAGGUCCUAGAAAGUGUCAUCAUACUUCUGAAGAGAAUUUACAAGUCUAUGAGAGAAGAAAGGCUGUUUGUGAGAAUAGCGUUCCAACACUGCAGCAUGGCAUGGGUAAAGGCUUGAUGACUGAUACGGGUGCUCCAGCAAAGAAAAAUGGCAGGAGUAAAGGUUUAAUAUCUCAAAAGGGUGCUCCUGUGAAGAAACAUGGCAUUGGCAAAGGUUUGAUGAGAGUUUGGCAGAUGACAAAUACUGGGGGUAGAGAGUUUCCUUCUUAUGGUAUUUCCCGUGAGAGCCUCAUCCAACAGAAGAAAAAUAGUUAUCAGCAACGGCAAAAUAUUUUGAGAAAAUUAUCAAACAAAGAACAGGCUAAGAGGAAGCUUCCCCUAAGAAAUAGAAAGGUGGUGUACCAGAAAGUUGAAAAGCGAAAUUGUAAAGAAAAAUGCGAACUUGCUCUGGACAGAGAGAGAUGUCUGGAAAAUUCAGAACACUUUGCAAUGUUAAUAGAUGAUGAGGAACUGGAGCUAAGAGAAUUACAAGCGGGACCAAAUCCAUUAACUUGCUCUGCACACUUUACAACCAAUGGAUCACAUGGUUGUUCGCUUUGCAAAGAUUUGCUAGCCAAGUUCCCUCCAAAUACUGUCACAAUGAGGCCUCCCUUCUAUGUCCAACCAUGGGAUUCCUCUCCGGAGCUUGUCAAGAAACUUUUCAAGGUCUUCCAUUUUAUUUGUACUUGGGCUAUAAAAAUUGAUGUACGUUCAUUCACCUUAGAUGAGUUUGCACAAGCAUUUCAUGAUAAGGACUCGCUGUUGCUUGGACAAGUACAUGUGGCCCUUCUCAAACUUCUUUUAUAUGAUGUUGAGCAGGACCUAAGCAGAGGAUUUUUGCCUCAUGCAAGCAAAAAUCGCAAGUUCUUGGCAUUACUGCACUCGGUUGAAGUUCAAGACUUUGUCCUAGGCUUCUGGCAGAAGUCACUGAACCUCCUGACAUGGACAGAAAUAUUACGUCAGGUGUUGGUUGCUGCUGGUUUUGGUUCUAAACUGGGAAUGGCGCCUAAGGGAGCUCUAACCAAGGAAGUCAAUCUUAUGGCAAAGUAUGGCUUAAAUUCUGGUACAUUGAAGGGUGAACUGUUCAGUACUUUGCUGACCCAAGGAAGCAGUGGAAUGCAAGUCUCAGAGUUGGCAAAAUCCUCAUCUAUUGUUGAGUUGAAUCUUGUGGAUACGAUCCAUGACCUAGAGAAUUUAAUUUACUCGGUUCUCUCAAGUGACAUUACAUUAUUUGAAAAGAUUUCUUCUUCUGGAUAUCGUCUACGAAUCAAUGCAACCACAAAAGAAGAAGAAGCAUGUCCUUCUGAUUGUGAAGACUUUGGGAGCGUUGAUGAGAUUUCUGCAGUCAGUGGUGGAUCCAACCUUGCGGAUGAUUCCAAAUCUGAGUCCAUGGAUUCCAGUCCAGCUAGAGUUAAGCAAGAUCAUUGUAAAAAUAAGAAUAAUAUGUUGACAGUGUACAAUGAAAUUGAUGAGAGCCAUCCAGGAGAAGCGUGGUUAUUAGGUUUAAUGGAAGGUGAAUAUUCAGAUUUAAGCAUUGAAGAGAAAUUGAAUGCUUUAGCUGCAUUGACUGAUCUGCUUAGUGCUGGAUCCAGUAUUAGAACAGAGGAUUUCUUGACACCUAUACUCAACGUCGAAUGUUCUCCAAACAUCAAUCAUUAUGCUUCCGGUGGAAAAAUAAAGCGAUCAACAGUGAAACAAUGUAAACCUGGGCUAAUAGUAGGCGGUGGUAGACAAAUGGCUAGUAACAAUGACGUGAGUACAUCAGAACAGCCAAUUGAUUCAUUAGUUCCUAUGUCAAAGAUUGGUAGCAAGGGAAAAGAUUGCAACACGAGGAAGGAUGCUAAAGAAAUGAAAACAGAGGAAUAUUUACACCCCAUGCAGUCUAUCUUUCUGGGUUCCGAUCGUAGAUACAAUAGAUACUGGAUUUUCUUGGGCCCUUGUGAUGAAUUUGAUCCUGGCCACAAAAGGAUUUAUUUUGAAUCUUCUGAAGAUGGUCAUUGGGAGGUGAUUGAUACUCAAGAGGCUUUAUGCACUUUGUUAUUGACCCUGGACCGUCGGGGUGCCCGGGAGGCUCGCCUUCUAGCAUCCUUGGAGAAACAGAGAGCAUUUCUUUGCCAGGCAAUGUCCAGUAUGCCAAAUGCUGGUAGAAUCAGGCAGCUCACUAUAUUUGAUCAAUCUGAACCGAAUACAUCUAGAGAAGAUAGUUCAUCUCCAGUGUCUGAUGUUGAUAACCAAUUGAGCCUUUGCGAAAUGCAAAAUGAUCUUCCCUCUUCUACCGUUGCUAUAGUUCCUGAAGCCGGGAAGAAAGGAGAACAGAAAGACCAAUGGAGCUGUUCCCAAGCUUUUGGCUCGUGGAUAUGGAAUUCAUUUUAUUUAGAACUCAACUCUGUUAAAAAUGGGAAGAGGUCAUAUAGUGACUCACUCAGAAGAUGUGAACACUGUCAUGACCUCUAUUGGAGAGAUGAGAAGCACUGUGUGGUUUGCCAUACCACAUUUGAGCUUGAUUUUGAUCUAGAAGAAAGAUAUGCUGUUCAUUCUGCAAUAUGUCAGGACAGUACAAAUAUCAACAAUGUUCAUAAGCAAAGGGUGCUGUCAUCCCAGUUGCAAGCACUCAAAGCUGCAAUUUAUGCAAUUGAGACAGUUCUGCCCGACGAUGCCUUUUUGGGGCCUUGGAAAAGAUCUGCUCAUAAUCUUUGGAUCAAUAGGUUACGACGAACCUCGAGUUUGGCAGAGUUUUUGCAGGUUCUUGCUGAUUUUAUCAGUGCUAUCAAUGAGGACUGGUUUUAUCAACUAAAUGACGACUUGAGUCCUAAUUAUCUCCUGGAUCAAAUAUUUACGAGCUUCCCAUCCAUGCCACAAACAUCAUCUGCAGUUGCACUUUGGUUGGUAAAAUUGGAUUUGUUGGUUGCCCCUUAUAUCAAAAGAGCUCAGGCUAAAAACAAAUCUCGAUAUGUUAACUGAUAAAAGAUUGAUAAAUGUAUGAAGGGUAAAUUGGAUCUUAGUGGCGUAAGGUACAAGGCACUGAAAUCAAUAUAGAAUUUCCUGGAGAAUCAUAGAUAAAGAGAAGUAUACGCAUUGGUUUUGGUAAUUCAACUGCCUGAGGUAGGUCCAAAUCUCAUAGUCAUCACCGCACAAUCAAGUUGACAGUUACAAUGUGAAACUUGCAGACUUUCUUUAUUUCUUUGUAAAAAGAGGCGAAUAAUAUAACAUUUCAAGGCCCGAAGCCAAAGGGGAACACCUCCCUCAUACAAGUCACUUUGUUGUGCUCAUUUUUGUCCACUGGUGUACUCCUGUCGAGUUCUUGUUAAAGUACAGCUUUUGAUGGGUUUCCUCUUUCUUUGCCCCAUAAUUUCAAUUUUUGUUACCUUUAUCGGUCACCUGUGAUUGUUUACAGUAGUAGGUUGAACUUUGUUGUUACCUGUGGGAAAGAACAAUGUAAAAUAAAUAAAAUAUUGUUACCGUUUAUCAGCAUUA